This 84-nucleotide unclassified non-coding RNA is filed under the name Epilithonimonas lactis. RNAcentral describes it as "Chryseobacterium halperniae Flavo-1 RNA". The record is from RNAcentral. Lineage: Bacteria; Pseudomonadati; Bacteroidota; Flavobacteriia; Flavobacteriales; Weeksellaceae.
CUGCAGCCCGACUUGAACGGAGCUCAUUUUUUGGUGCUGGUAAAGCUUUGGCAAAAAAUAGCGGGAGUGGAAGGCGGAUAAAGC